RNAcentral lists this ribosomal RNA (348 nucleotides) under uncultured Curvibacter sp. RNAcentral's name for it is "bacterial SSU rRNA". It matches the Rfam family "Bacterial small subunit ribosomal RNA", at positions 1 to 353 of the family's 1533-position model. The record is from RNAcentral. Lineage: Bacteria; Pseudomonadati; Pseudomonadota; Betaproteobacteria; Burkholderiales; Comamonadaceae.
CAUGGAGUUUGAUCCUGGCUCAGAUUGAACGCUGGCGGCAUGCCUUACACAUGCAAGUCGAACGGCAGCACGGGAGCAAUCCUGGUGGCGAGUGGCGAACGGGUGAGUAAUAUAUCGGAACGUGCCCAGUCGUGGGGGAUAACGUAGCGAAAGCUACGCUAAUACCGCAUACGAUCUAUGGAUGAAAGCGGGGGAUCGCAAGACCUCGCGCGAUUGGAGCGGCCGAUAUCAGAUUAGGUAGUUGGUGAGGUAAAGGCUCACCAAGCCGACGAUCUGUAGCUGGUCUGAGAGGACGACCAGCCACACGUGGGACUGAGACACGGCCCAGACUCCGUACGGGGAGCAGCA